This 253-nucleotide ribosomal RNA is filed under the name uncultured bacterium. Its description in RNAcentral is "partial 16S ribosomal RNA". It matches the Rfam family "Bacterial small subunit ribosomal RNA", at positions 524 to 776 of the family's 1533-position model. The record is from RNAcentral.
UACGUAGGGGGCAAGCGUUGUCCGGAAUCAUUGGGCGUAAAGAGCGCGUAGGCGGCCCUGUAAGUCCGCUGUGAAAGUCAAGGGCUCAACCCUUGGAUGCCGGUGGAUACUGCAGGGCUAGAGUCCGGAAGAGGCGAGUGGAAUUCCUGGUGUAGCGGUGAAAUGCGCAGAUAUCAGGAGGAACACCGGUGGUGUAGACGGCUCUCUGGACCAUUACUGACGCUGAGACACGAAAGCGUGGGUAGCAAACAGG